Molecule: transfer RNA, 72 nt
Filed under: Ictidomys tridecemlineatus (thirteen-lined ground squirrel)
Lineage: Eukaryota; Metazoa; Chordata; Mammalia; Rodentia; Sciuridae
Description: Spermophilus tridecemlineatus (thirteen-lined ground squirrel) tRNA
Rfam family: tRNA
About the family: Transfer RNA (tRNA) molecules are approximately 80 nucleotides in length. Their secondary structure includes four short double-helical elements and three loops (D, anti-codon, and T loops).
Source: Rfam by way of RNAcentral
GGGGUUGUAGCUCAGUGGUAGAGUACUCACCUAGCAUGUGGGAGGCACUGGGCUUGAUCCUCAGCACCACUU